This 1977-nucleotide long non-coding RNA is filed under the name Homo sapiens (human). Its description in RNAcentral is "HSALNT0327079". The record is from RNAcentral. Lineage: Eukaryota; Metazoa; Chordata; Mammalia; Primates; Hominidae.
AUUCUGCAUUCUUCAAAAAGCGUCAACCACAUGUCUCCAGCGAGCGCCUAGCAAUGUGCCUGCCUUAAUGGGUAAUGCAAAAUAAAUCGUUCUGGAGCUCUGAGAAGGACACAGUAAAAAGAAGAGCAAAAAUGAGCAUCUCAAAUAAGAGAUGUGGCAGGACAGAUCCUUAUGGGCCUGGAGAGUUAAACCCACAAAAAGAAAGGGAAGAAAGAGGCAGAAGAUCGGGAGGAGGACCAUGAGAAAGAACCAACAGAGGCAAACAACUUGAACAAAGAUGCAGAGGGAGAAUGUGUCGGACUUGUUUACAGGAACCUAAACACGGAACCAAAUUUGAAUUUUGAAGAUCCUUCUCUUUUUCUCUUGCUAGGAUGAUUAAUAGCCUCUAGUGUGAGAGAAUUUGUUGUUGUGAGGUGAUAAAACUGCUUUGAAUGCUAUAAGGUAUACAACUCUUGUCUCCCUUUUACAGAUGAGGAAACUGAGGCACAAAAAGGUGAAGUCCUGAGCUCACAGUCAUGCAACCAGCAGGUGGUGAAACACACCUCCAAGCUGCCUGCCUCCUAAGCAUCAAGCUUUGUGGCCCAGGAUCUACUUCAUGCUCCAAAUAUUCAUGGACCUUCCCAGGACCUCAACAAAACAAAACCAUGAAGAAAAACCUUGACAUGAACCCCAAAAAAACCCAGUCAGCAAUAUUUUAAGUUAAAUUUUGAAACAAAUCCAAACGGGUUCCUCCCCAUAAAUCUACCAGUAAAUUGUGCAGAAUCAGAACUGAAGCCAUGCCCUUUCUUAAAGUAUUGAAUUAGAAUAAAUGAGAACAUCUAAAUAUUUUCCAAAUUCAUAUUCCAGUUAUAAUAUUCAAGUUUCUUAGUUUCUCUCUGUUCACAUUCAACAUGAAAUAGUCCCAUUAGUCAGUAGCAAGAGCUGCAACAUUUCUACAGGUACUAAAGGAUGUGAUCAGAGCAGGGAAGAUGGCCAACAAGAUGAUGCCACUCUAGCGGGUGCCCAUCCAAAUCAUAACCCAUGAAUACUGCGGCUUUAUUAUCUUGGACAACAGAAAGCUGAUCUUGUAAUUGGAUGAUCACCCCUGCUUGCAUGCUUUCGAGUAGUUACGUAUGACAAAAGGAGCUACUGGUUUUGUGAUGAUGGGUUUCUGGGUAAACCCUAGAUGCAGAAGCAGCUUUUAAGCAUAGCAGAGCAAGAGUCAAAUGGUUCUGAAAAAAGUUUUAACUCUGAGAUGACUUCUCCCCGCUUCUUUCACUCUACCCUCUCAAUCCUAGAGCAAGUGAGCAGAGUAGGUAAAGCUGUUUCCUCCAGAAAGAUGAUCCAUAUUUUAAACAGCUCUGUGAAUGGGGCACUAAGACUCAGAAGAUCUGGUUUUCAGUUCGCAUUCUGCCUUUAACUGGUCUUGAAAGUUUGGGCAACUCAAUUAUCUCAUGGAGUCAGUAUUUGCAUCUGUACAGUGGGGAUAUGAAUACCUGUCUUACCUACACGGAGCUGUAAGAGCAACAGAAUGUGAGCUGGCAUGAUGUUAUUAUAUGUAUCACCUUGGUUAUUUUAAAACAUGCUUGAUGUAUUAGCCUCUCUGUUUCCUCUUGAGUUUUCCUGCAGAGAUGUCUUUUAAACCAAGCAUCACUCUCCCAAUCAGAGACAGGGCUAACUAGAUAGACAAAUGAGAAAGAGAAGUCGGGGAUGGGAUGGGAGCACAGCCAAUGCAGAAACAGUCAUGUGUAUUCUUCUAGACAGGUGAGCAGAGACAUUUUCAGGAUUUCAGGGGGGCAGGAUGGAGACAUGGGGGAAGCUUCUGGGUCAGUUCUUGAUGGUGUGGCUUCAGUAUGUAGAUGCACACAUUCUCCUCUAAGUCGAAAAGAAUAUACUGGGGGUUUCCAUUCUUUUGGAUUUUCCAGGCUUCUAACGACCUCCACCAUUCCCAGUCCAGAGGAGGUCAUGGGAUGAUAGAAAGUGGGAGCAACCAGGGCA